RNAcentral lists this unclassified non-coding RNA (3241 nucleotides) under Leishmania donovani. RNAcentral describes it as "gene:LdHU3.36.6630(CDS-product:Alpha/beta_hydrola se_family_putative)". Lineage: Eukaryota; Euglenozoa; Kinetoplastea; Trypanosomatida; Trypanosomatidae. The record is from RNAcentral.
GCACCGCGAUGAACAUCCACAUAUCCGGGAAUCUGAGCAAACCGACCGUGAUCUUUAUCGCCGGAUGGCCAGACACCUGUGAUGUCUUCCGUGACAACGUCAUGGCCACUUUGGCCACGGACUACCGUAUUGUUGGAGUGACCUUGCCCGGAUUCGACGACGAGCAUCCGUUUCUGGAAGAGCUGCGCAAGCGAGGCGACGCAGAAGGGCUGAAUCAGCUGGGGAAACUGCGGGGCGGGGGCAACGGGGUAUCAACCGCGUGCACGGCAACUGGGUCCACGUGGAUGAGCACGCUUUCGCCGAUGCGAUUCCUCACCUCCGCCGGCGCUGCCCCGCAACCAAACGACAGCAGCAGCCGCGGUGGCGGGGCAUGCGCGAGAACACCGCUGCAGGCAUUCGGCCUUCCCUGUCGCUGCGCCGCAUUAGAGCCUUUCCGCACCUCGUGGAAGGGCCACAGCUUCCAGGAUCUCGUGACGCUGCUCGAAAUCGCGGUGGACACAGCCAUGGAAACGUGUAACUACUGCCCAACUGUGAGGUCGCCCAUCUCUGCGGAGGCGCAGGCGAGCGCGAGACGCAGCGGCGGCGGCGAAAGCGAGGCAUCAGAGCCCACCACCGAUGCGUUCGCGGCUCACCAGUUGCCACCCACAUACACUCGGCCAGUGCUAAUCGCGCACGACUGGGGGUGCUUGUUGGCCUACGAGCUACUCCUUGCCCGGCCAAGGCUCUUCUCUCGCAUCGUCGCCCUCGAUGUCGGCGCGUACUGUUUUGAAAGCGACGCCGCUCACGUUGAACGCAUGUGCGCUUUGGUAUCCGGGCAAGGCAAGGGCACGCCAGCCGACGUGGCCCGCAGCCCUUUUGCAGCAGCUGAGGCGCAAGCCGCGGUAAACAAGGAAAAGGCUGCGAAUUCAUCCGCUUCUGGGCGGGAGGUGGACGCUAUCGCUCAGACUACUACAGCCACCUGCGAUCCAAACUUGGCUCAGCGAGGACGAAUAGUGCCGGCAGCUGGCGCCGCCCCGACCCUCACGCUGCUUCGAAGACAGAGUACCUCGCCCCUGGACGCUGCGCCGGCCCUGUCGACGCUGCCGCAGAUGCGCAGCGGUCCUUCCACUCCAGGGACAAAGCGCUCUCUCGCUUUGCAGUACGCCAUCCGCCGGCGCAGGGGCGCCGCUCUACCGCAGCGUGCUGAGGCGCGCAAAAGGCUUUUCAUUGUCCUCUACCAGUUUUUUUUGAUCGCAUGUGAGCUGUUUGUGCCCCAUCGCCUGGCGCGCUGGCUGGUGGGGUGGUUUGCGAGCGUCUCCGGGCGACCCUCCUACUCGUACGACCCACAGAUGGUGGUUACGCCGACGAUGGAGCUGCUGAACCACACUCUCAACGCACAGUUCUUUGCGCGACACCCCCUCGCUGUGGAAAACCGGGGCGCUCUGCAGCUGCCCAUGCUACUGCAGACGGAGGAGACCAAAGGCUCUCCAUCAUCUUCAGCAGCAGCAGUAGCUACUGUGGAGGCGGGCUACUGCAAGAGCAAGGGACCUGCGCAGGCAACGGCCGCCGGUUGGAAGAUCAUGCUCAUCCCGUAUCUGGAGAAGAUGUCCGUGACAGCCUUCCGAGGCAGCGCAACGUCUGGCAAUCAGGGUCAGCUGCAGUCGAAUGGCCGACCCCUGUCCAAACGUGGGGUCUGCGAGGCCUUUGAAGGAAACUGCGGCACGAUUCGCAAGUCCACGCAUUCUGGGCGGGCACAGCGGCACAGGCUCUACGGCGACUCGUCGACAGACAGCUGCGCAAGCGUUGAUGGGAUGGGCGACAAUUUGGAGGGUGACGGUGUUGCUGGCCGAAGCGGUACCACGUUUGACAAGAAGAACCCGACAGACGACGCGCACGUCGUCUUCUCAUCGUACGCGAAGGGGGCUGACAUGGUGUUCGAUGAGUGGAAGUCGCUCGCCGCCGGCACGCGCGGCAUCGUCGAUGAGGGCCCAAGCGGUCUCGGCAGCAGCGGCGAACUUGACCCGUACACCUCUGUCAAGGGCAUCGCUGCACCCGUGUGGGUCACCGAGGAUCCGCUCACUCUGACAGGCGCGCAGAGCUUCAUGGAGACGAACAGGGCAACAGGGGUGGGCAGCAAGGACGUCAGUUUCUUGAUGGCUGCCGACGGCACCUUUGCGGGCGACGGCAGUCGCGCUGACACUUUCGGCGUCUCUUCUAGCACUGGUGCAAGACAAAUGCACGUGGCAAAGCGGCGCCUCUUCUACCAGGCCGUCGUCUUUCCACCGUUGAAUAGCGUCGCCACCGGGUCGUCGUCGACGUCGUUUUACGGCGACCUCGACGAUGGCGACUCAGAUCGCAGCUCUGUCGGGCCACGCUCGACAGUGCUGAGCCGACUACGCAAGUCGAACCGCACCUCUCCGCUGCGUCCUGCUGUGCCGGUGCACGCGUCGCCCUGGCACUCGUGGAUCUACCUCCGAUUCUGGUUGGGGACGUUCGUGCUGCGCCUCGUAGCGCUGGUGUCGUGGCUCCUUGGUGAAAAGCCGUCCAUGCAACCGUCAUCUGUGCCGGGCGAAGGCAUGGCAGCCUCGAGUGCCACCGGCGCUGCGAGCAGGGCGUCAUCGAAUGUCAUGACCACAGCGAUGACUACAAUAUAUCGUCGACUGCCUGCUACGCCCUCACUCGCUGCAGAUGUUUCUACUCUGCCGGGGAAUGGCGACGUCGUGCUGCAGCCAAAGAGCCACGCGCCGCUAGUCACACAGCGCUACUUUGUGCCGCUGCCGAUUCCUAUUCUCUUUAUGUACGGCGGCGAGAAGCGCGUCAUGUUUCACGCCGACCACUGGUGCUCGUACAUACGUCAGUAUCAGCGGCCGCGUGACGGGAUUUCCGAUGUGGUUGAGGUACAGGGUGGCGGGCACUGGUUCUUCGCUGAGAAGAAGUAUCAAAAGAAAGUGGCAGAUCGCAUCGCCGAAUUCCUCGCGGCAGAGCCAACGACGCCGUAUGAAGUCUGACGCGACGUGCAUGGGCGUUGCAGCGCGUCUGGGAAGACUCCGCCACGAGCUCACGGUCCGAUCGCUUUCUUGAGUACGGGUGAGGAGUUCAUUGCUUUUCGACUGCGCUUCUGCUAAGCACCGACUGCGGCACUUGUCUUUCUGCACUCAUCUAUCUUAUGCAUGACGCCGCGCCAUUACCUGCGUUUCCGCGUGCGUUUACUUCCGUCUUCUCGCACACGAACGCGCUCUCACGUGCGCGUCGUCUUCGCCAG